RNAcentral lists this ribosomal RNA (473 nucleotides) under uncultured bacterium. RNAcentral describes it as "bacterial SSU rRNA". It matches the Rfam family "Bacterial small subunit ribosomal RNA", at positions 329 to 793 of the family's 1533-position model. The record is from RNAcentral.
GGAGAGCAUCCUACGGGAGGCAGCAGUGGGGAAUAUUGCACAAUGGGCGCAAGCCUGAUGCAGCCAUGCCGCGUGUAUGAAGAAGGCCUUCGGGUUGUAAAGUACUUUCAGCAGUGAGGAAGGUGGAUAUGUUAAUAGCAUAUUCAUUUGACGUUAGCUGCAGAAGAAGCACCGGCUAACUCCGUGCCAGCAGCCGCGGUAAUACGGAGGGUGCGAGCGUUAAUCGGAAUUACUGGGCGUAAAGCGCAUGCAGGUGGUUUGUUAAGUCAGAUGUGAAAGCCCGGGGCUCAACCUCGGAAUUGCAUUUGAAACUGGCAAACUAGAGUACUGUAGAGGGGGGUAGAAUUUCAGGUGUAGCGGUGAAAAUGCGUAGAGAUCUGAAGGAAUACCGGUGGCGAAGGCGGCCCCCUGGACAGAUACUGACACUCAGAUGCGAAAGCGUGGGGAGCAAACAGGAUUAGAUACCCUGGUAG